RNAcentral lists this ribosomal RNA (253 nucleotides) under uncultured bacterium. RNAcentral describes it as "partial 16S ribosomal RNA". It matches the Rfam family "Bacterial small subunit ribosomal RNA", at positions 524 to 776 of the family's 1533-position model. The record is from RNAcentral.
CACGUAGGGCGCAAGCGUUGUCCGGAAUUAUUGGGCGUAAAGAGCUCGUAGGUGGUUUGUUACGUCCGCUGUGAAAUCCUAGGGCUUAACCCUGGGCUUGCAGUGGAUACGGGCAGACUAGAGGUAGGUAGGGGAGAAUGGAAUUCCUGGUGUAGCGGUGAAAUGCGUAGAUAUCGGAAGGAACAUCAGUGGCGAAAGCGACUUCCUGGACCAAUACUGACGCUCAUGUGCGAAAGCGUGGGGAGCAAACAGG